GACAAAUUGACAACCACUCGGGCCGGGUUGCAUAAAUUCCAAUUUAAUAAAAUAAUUGAGCAAGUCACAAGUAAGCAAAACAGCGCUGGGCGGCCGGGGAGUCUCCUGCUCCACCAACGGCGCGCGCGAUCCCCCCCUCACAGUCCCCUUAUAUGCGAUUCCAGCCCCGGGUAUAUGUGGCACUUCCUGUAACUUCUGCGGCUGCGCCGGCUGUUGCUAGGGGGUCUUCUUCAGCCUUCUGGUAGUCGUGGGGAUGAAGGCUGGAGUCUUCCUCUGCGUUGUGUGUGGUGACCCUCAGGUCAUGCAUAUAUUUUACAACUGUGUGACCUCGCCAUUGCCAUAUUAGGCUAUCUAAACUAAMAUCACCACCUCGCUGGCUCCACUUAAUUAUCUCAGGMGGGGUACAUGCCCUCAUUGCAGGAUGUUGUGGUUUUAGCCCGUAAUUAGCGCCUAGUUUCACCGUAAAAUCACUUCCCGAUUUGAUGUAACAAACUAGCACCUAUCACAGAAGGGUUUAUUGCAGCAGGAUGGAGAACAGCGCUUGCAUCCAAAAUGAGCUAGAGAAACUGGAGAAACUGUCUGGAGAGAAAAGGAUGUGAUGCAAAUAGUGUUGUGUGACUGUUCUCUCCUGUGCAGAUGGAGAAGGCCUGGCUGCGUAGCGGCUCUGAAGAAAGGGAUCCAAGCGCUAUAGUUGCGCCAAAAUGUCACACGGGUGAGAAGAAAAACAGGAAUACCUCACACAUUGGCGGGCAAUCAGAAAGCCAUAGGAGAGGGUGGGAAAACGUGAAGCAGGAGGAAGGAUGGAAAGAACGGAGGCGAGGCAGCAGAUUGACGCUCUGCAUCAGACCGCACACUGUGGUGGUAAAGCUGUGUUUAUUUGCUUAAAUGAUUUCCAACUCCCCUGGUUGCCCCUUGCUUGCCUUCCCGGGGGUUUGCAAUGCAUACCAUGCAUUGGCACAAUGGACAGGACAGGGCAGGCUAAGAGGAAAAGGGCAUCGGUAGCUUAAGCCUGUGUUGGAACCAGAUGCUUCAUAACAGGGCACUGCAGCCUGAGGGCGGCGGAGAAAAGGACAGGGCAGAGAAUAUGUUAAUAACCUUCACAUAUGGGAAAGGACAGAUGAAAAGGGAAGUGGGAAGUUUGCUCACCAUGUCUGCAGUGGGUAAAAAGCGAAGUAUUAGGGCUAGAUGUCUGCAAAAGGGCACUUGCUUCAGUAAGCAGCAAAGCCUUGGAAUGGGUUGCCCGAGUAGGGGAUGCAGUCUCACACCAUGAAAAUUUCUUAAAUCAGGGUAGAACAAGCAUCUGCCCAGUGCAGCUGGCUCUGCUUCGAGAUGGGAGUAUUGGAUUUAGAUAGCCUCCAUAUUAUUCCUUUCAACCCUAUUUUAUGAUUCUGUCCCUAUCAUUAGGGAAGCUUUCCACAUCUCUAGACUAAUUUUCCCCUGUUGCAGUUUAAGCUCAUAAUUUCUGAUUUUGUUCACUGCAGAUGUGGAAAGCAUUUUAUUACCUUCCUCUUUCCAGUUACCCUUUACUGCUAUGUCUCCCUUUGGUUUCUCCCCACUGUACUAAAUAAACCUAAUUCAUUCCAUUUUGCCUCA
Apteryx owenii (little spotted kiwi) is the source of this 1593-nucleotide long non-coding RNA. Lineage: Eukaryota; Metazoa; Chordata; Aves; Apterygiformes; Apterygidae. The record is from Ensembl.